AUUGAACGCUGGCGGCAUGCCUUACACAUGCAAGUCGAACGGCAGCACGGGUGCUUGCACCUGGUGGCGAGUGGCGAACGGGUGAGUAAUACAUCGGAACGUACCUUAUCGUGGGGGAUAACGCAGCGAAAGUUACGCUAAUACCGCAUACGCACUGAGGUGGAACGCAGGGGAUCGUAAGACCUUGCGCUAUACGAGCGGCCGAUGUCAGAUUAGCUAGUUGGUAGGGUAAAGGCCUACCAAGGCGACGAUCUGUAGCGGGUCUGAGAGGAUGAUCCGCCACACUGGGACUGAGACACGGCCCAGACUCCUACGGGAGGCAGCAGUGGGGAAUUUUGGACAAUGGGGGCAACCCUGAUCCAGCCAUGCCGCGUGAGUGAAGAAGGCCUUCGGGUUGUAAAGCUCUUUCGGCCGGGAAGAAAUCGCACAGGCUAAUACCCUGUGUGGAUGACGGUACCGGCAUAAGAAGCACCGGCUAACUACGUGCCAGCAGCCGCAGUAA
RNAcentral lists this ribosomal RNA (502 nucleotides) under uncultured bacterium. RNAcentral describes it as "partial 16S ribosomal RNA". It matches the Rfam family "Bacterial small subunit ribosomal RNA", at positions 30 to 523 of the family's 1533-position model. The record is from RNAcentral.